CAUCAUUUUUACUUAAUGGCUCAUUUUCCUGCUUUGAAAACGAUCAACAAAGAAUGAUAAAGAGUAUAGAUUGGCAUCCAUUAAUCAAAGAUAUCUUCCUUGCAUCUACAAUAUCUAGAUUGAGAUAUGAAGAAAAAAUUCAUAGUUCUCACCUUGCAUGAUGAUGCUACCAGGUUUUAUAUUUGGAGUGCUAAAAAUCAAUUUUGUUAUAAGCUUUUACUGGAAUAUCUUGAUGAUAUCUUUAUUUUCAAAUUUAAUUCUGUUAUGCCUAACUUAAUUGCUGGUGGUAGCAUAACAGGACAAUUAAUAUUAUGGGAUUUACAAAAUGUGAAAAUAGCUUCUAAUGAAAUGGAAAUUAAAGAUGACUGUUUUCAGCCUGUCAUUGCACGUUAUACUGCUGCUUCCAGUAUGGAUUACUGCCACUUACAUGGUUUAACCCACCUUAUGUGGAUACCUAAUCAUAUAGAGAUACUGGCAAAGGGCGAUUGUAAACAAAAUGAGUUUAAUCAUUCAUAUCAGAUUGCUACAUGUGGUUUAGAUGGUGUUUUGAGAUUUUGGGAUUUAAGAGCUGCCAUUGCCCAUAAACCAGGACAGACUGUACCCAAAUAUUUCCACAACCUUGAUGGGAAAUGGGAACCUUUCCAUUCAGUGGAUAUAAUGUCUUCUGAUGGAAAAAGACAAUCUGUAACAUGUUUCACUUUGAGAGAAGUCUCAAAAUUGAAUAAGAAAGGAAUUAAAGAAGUUUCUCAAGAUGAUGAUCCAGGAAAUACAAGCAUGGACACCAGUGCAAAGAAACCUUUGUCUACAGAAUUCAUUUGUGGUUGUGAUGAUGGAAAACUGCUUCGUGGGAAUUUUAAACUGGAAAAAGAUGAAACAGGAAAAUACAUUACAAAACUUCCUGAAUUAUUCUCUUCACCUCAUAGCAGUUCUGUGACUACGCUAGCUGCUUCUCCAUUUGUAGAAGAUGUAUUUCUUAGUGGUGGAUCAAGAACAUUUGCUAUAAGGAAGCAUGGAAUUCUGAAUCCAGUAUUAUUGCGAGAGAUGCAUACUUAUAUUACUUCAGGAGAGUGGUCUCCUACGAAACCUUCAGUUUUUAUUGUGGGAUAUGAUGAUGGCUCUAUUGAAGUGUGGAAUUUAUUGUCUAAUAUCUAUGAACCUUAUCUUGUAUACUUUGUAUCAACUUCUGCAGUAAACAGCAUAUCAUUUCAAACUCUAUCAGCUGGAAUUAACAAUACAGUACAUAAAUGAAGAAUCGGACAGAAUACAAAAGUUCAGUUAUGAAGCAAAAAUGCCCACUGAAAAACCUGAAGAAACUUUUAUACAACAAAUAGAAAAGGCAAAGCCACCAGAAGAUAUUCCAAGAGAAAUCACAGAAGAAGAAUUACUUUUAAAAAACUAUGCAGAAUUCCAAGAGUUAGAAAAGAUCCAGUUGCAAUACUUAGGUUUAAUCGAAGAUGAUAACGAAGAAAAUGAAGAUGA
RNAcentral lists this unclassified non-coding RNA (1479 nucleotides) under Stegodyphus dumicola. Its description in RNAcentral is "wD repeat-containing protein 63-like, transcript variant X5". Lineage: Eukaryota; Metazoa; Arthropoda; Arachnida; Araneae; Eresidae. The record is from RNAcentral.